Sphingomonadales bacterium is the source of this 382-nucleotide non-coding RNA. The record is from Rfam. NCBI's taxonomy places the organism in Bacteria, Pseudomonadati, Pseudomonadota, Alphaproteobacteria, Sphingomonadales.
UCACUUCCCAUUCACCAAAGCAUCGCUAUAUGGGUUCCUGCCGGCUCGUCCGGCUAUGACGAUAAAUUGCGGCGUGCAAUAGGCACAGCGGACCCGGGGGCGGUACCCGGCGGCUCCACCAUAAUCCUCGUGAAAGCGGGGCUUUUGACGGGGCCGAACUAGGAUCGACGUGUGUUGAAAAGCGGUGUUUUCGUCCGGGCUGAGUAACCCGUUAAAGGCUCAAAACUCAUAAGUGCCAAUGACAAUGACGCACUCGCACUUGCUGCCUAAUUCAGCGGCCUAACGGCCAAGAAUAAGGAAGUAAGAGCGCGGUUGAACCCACCGGGCAACAGAAGCGGAGUUCAGCGGUUUGGAGAGCACCGGGCAACAGAAGCUCUCCACU